CGGUCAUCCAAUGUUAGAAACACAUGUUGACGUGUAUGAUUCAAAAACUCAAAAGGUUAUCUUCCGUUUCUCAACCGGUUUGAUCCUCAAAUUGUGAAUUGUCGAUACGUAGGGAUAACGAUUGUUUGUGAAUACGUCAUGUUAAAGGGUUUGUUUUUAUAAUGAUAUACCAUUUAUGGGUAACGUACAUGACAUCAAAGUGGUGAACAUGCGCAUUUUAGAGAGGUAGGAGACGACAAGUCAGUUCCUCCGACAAAUGGGCCAGCGGCGGAAGGAGACGUAUAGGAAAGACGUGAACCAUGACUCUUUUGACUUCGAUAACAGUUAGAGUAGUUAUGUGACUCGUAGAGAGAUAUAGAGCAUACAGUAAGGGUGUGCGUCGUCGGACAAUACACCUUGUGUACACUAGAAGAGACCAACGGACUUCAAGAAGGAGUACUUUAACAUCCGCAUCAGUUGAUAAUAAAAGAAGUGGUUUGGCCGUAAAACGAGGCGGUGGUGCAAUCAAAGAGGGUCAUC
Molecule: ribosomal RNA, 519 nt
Filed under: Triticum aestivum (bread wheat)
Lineage: Eukaryota; Viridiplantae; Streptophyta; Magnoliopsida; Poales; Poaceae
Description: partial small subunit ribosomal RNA
Source: RNAcentral